UACGUUCCCGGGCCUUGUACACACCGCCCGUCACACCACGAAAGUUGGUUGUUCCAGAAGUCGCUGUUGGAACCCGCAAGGGACCUAGGCGCCAAAGGAAUAACCGGUAAUUGGGGUG
RNAcentral lists this ribosomal RNA (118 nucleotides) under uncultured bacterium. RNAcentral's name for it is "partial 16S ribosomal RNA". It matches the Rfam family "Bacterial small subunit ribosomal RNA", at positions 1367 to 1482 of the family's 1533-position model. The record is from RNAcentral.